Molecule: transfer RNA, 75 nt
Filed under: Nanobdellota archaeon
Lineage: Archaea; Nanobdellati; Nanobdellota
Description: tRNA-Arg
Rfam family: tRNA
About the family: Transfer RNA (tRNA) molecules are approximately 80 nucleotides in length. Their secondary structure includes four short double-helical elements and three loops (D, anti-codon, and T loops). Further hydrogen bonds mediate the characteristic L-shaped molecular structure. tRNAs have two regions of fundamental functional importance: the anti-codon, which is responsible for specific mRNA codon recognition, and the 3' end, to which the tRNAs corresponding amino acid is attached (by aminoacyl-tRNA synthetases). tRNAs cope with the degeneracy of the genetic code in two manners: having more than one tRNA (with a specific anti-codon) for a particular amino acid; and 'wobble' base-pairing, i.e. permitting non-standard base-pairing at the 3rd anti-codon position.
Source: RNAcentral
GCCUGGGUAGCUCAGCCUGGAUAGAGCGACUGCCUUCUAAGCAGUAGGUCGUGGGUUCAAAUCCCAUCUCGGGCA